AUGCGCACGGCAGAGCUCAGGGUCCGACAGCGCCUCUCAGCAGGCCCGCACCCGGGGCUCUGGCCCCGCCCGAGUACACGUGCGCGUCAGGCCCCGCCCCCAGGCGCCCUGGCCCCGCCCCUCGCUCAACCACUGCGCUUCCCGUGGACCCUGAUGUGGUGAUGUUAGGAGACCCUCAGCUGCUGCGGUUCCUGGCUGAGUGAGGCCAGGCCCUCAGGCUCCAGCAUGGCCCUGCAAGACCACUGCUGCCCCCCUGCGGCCGUGCAGAGGAUCCUGCCCUGCCCUGGCUGUUGGACUCUGAAGAUGGACUUCAUCACUGGACUUUCAGUGGGGCUCAAGGUCAUUCCCCACGCGCUGGCCUGUGCUGAGGUGACCUGACUCCUGCCCCAGUGUGGCUUCUACUCUGCCUUCAUGGGUGCUUCGUGUAGUUCUUCCUGGUCACCUUCUGGCAUGUUACCCUGAGCCCACCUGUGCUGUGCUGCUG
RNAcentral lists this long non-coding RNA (484 nucleotides) under Equus asinus (donkey). Its description in RNAcentral is "lncRNA (ENSEASG00005024828.1)". Lineage: Eukaryota; Metazoa; Chordata; Mammalia; Perissodactyla; Equidae. The record is from RNAcentral.